UAUGUUUUAGUGUAUGACGCACAAAAGUUUUUGAUACUUUUAGAAAUAGUUUAAUUCUAUUAAAUAUAA
RNAcentral lists this transfer RNA (69 nucleotides) under Dicerapanorpa magna. RNAcentral describes it as "tRNA-Gln". Lineage: Eukaryota; Metazoa; Arthropoda; Insecta; Mecoptera; Panorpidae. The record is from RNAcentral.